Molecule: ribosomal RNA, 2931 nt
Filed under: Geobacillus thermocatenulatus
Lineage: Bacteria; Bacillati; Bacillota; Bacilli; Caryophanales; Anoxybacillaceae
Description: 23S ribosomal RNA
Rfam family: Bacterial large subunit ribosomal RNA
Source: RNAcentral
AGGUUAAGCUAGAAAGGGCGCACGGUGGAUGCCUUGGCACUAGGAGCCGAUGAAGGACGGGGCAAACGCCGAAACGCUUCGGGGAGCUGUAAGCAAGCGUGGAUCCGGAGAUGUCCGAAUGGGGGAACCCACUGCUCGUAAUGGGGCAGUAUCCAUGCCUGAAUCCAUAGGGCAUGGAGGGCACACCCGGGGAACUGAAACAUCUUAGUACCCGGAGGAGAAGAAAGCAAACGCGAUUCCCCGAGUAGCGGCGAGCGAAACGGGAACAGCCCAAACCAAGAGGCGUGUCCUCUUGGGGUUGUAGGACCGCUCAUGGUGGGAGUGAGAAAGGGACGGGGUAGACGAACCGGUCUGGAACGGCCGGCCAGAGAAGGUGAGAGCCCUGUAGUCGAAACUUCGUUCCCUCCCGAGCGGAUCCUGAGUACGGCGGGACACGAGGAAUCCCGUCGGAAGCAGGGAGGACCAUCUCCCAAGGCUAAAUACUCCCUAGUGACCGAUAGUGAACCAGUACCGUGAGGGAAAGGUGAAAAGCACCCCGGGAGGGGAGUGAAAGAGAACCUGAAACCGUGUGCCUACAAGUAGUCAGAGCCCGUUGAUGGGUGAUGGCGUGCCUUUUGUAGAAUGAACCGGCGAGUGACGAUGGCGUGCGAGGUUAAGCCGAAGAGGCGGAGCCGCAGCGAAAGCGAGUCUGAACAGGGCAAAAAGUACGUCGUCGUCGACCCGAAACCAGGUGAUCUACCCAUGUCCAGGGUGAAGGCCGGGUAACACCGGCUGGAGGCCCGAACCCACGCACGUUGAAAAGUGCGGGGAUGAGGUGUGGGUAGGGGUGAAAUGCCAAUCGAACUUGGAGAUAGCUGGUUCUCCCCGAAAUAGCUUUAGGGCUAGCCUCGGGCUUGAGAGUGUUGGAGGUAGAGCACUGAUUGGGCUAGGGGCCCAAACCGGGUUACCGAACCCAGUCAAACUCCGAAUGCCAACGACUUAUGCCCGGGAGUCAGACUACGAGUGAUAAGAUCCGUGGUCGAGAGGGGAACAGCCCAGACCGCCAGCUAAGGCCCCCAAGUGCACGUUCAGUGGAAAAGGAUGUGGAGUUGCCAAGACAACCAGGAUGUUGGCUUAGAAGCAGCCACCAUUUAAAGAGUGCGUAAUAGCUCACUGGUCGAGUGACUCUGCGCCGAAAAUGUACCGGGGCUAAACGUGCCGCCGAAGCUGCGGGAUGACCGUUGGUCAUCGGUAGGGGAGCGUUCUAAGGGCAGAGAAGCCAGACCGGAAGGACUGGUGGAGCGCUUAGAAGUGAGAAUGCCGGUAUGAGUAGCGAAAACAGAGGUGAGAAUCCUCUGCGCCGAAAGCCUAAGGGUUCCUGAGGAAGGUUCGUCCGCUCAGGGUUAGUCGGGACCUAAGCCGAGGCCGAAAGGCGUAGGUGAUGGACAACAGGUUGAGAUUCCUGUACCACCUUCUUCCCGUUUGAGCGAUGGGGGGACGCAGGAGGAUAGGGCGAGCAGGCGGCUGGAAGAGCCUGUCCAAGCCGUGAGGCUGAUCCGCAGGCAAAUCCGCGGAUUGGAAGGCCGAGCGGUGACGGCGACGGAGUCAUCCGGAAGUCCCCGAUUUCACACUGCCAAGAAAAGCCUCUAGCGAGGGAAGAGGUGCCCGUACCGCAAACCGACACAGGUAGGCGAGGAGAGAAUCCUAAGGCGCGCGGGAGAACUCUCGUUAAGGAACUCGGCAAAAUGACCCCGUAACUUCGGGAGAAGGGGUGCUCUUUGGGGUGAAGAGCCCUGAAGAGCCGCAGUGAAAAGGCCCAAGCGACUGUUUAUCAAAAACACAGGUCUCUGCGAAGCCGAAAGGCGACGUAUAGGGGCUGACACCUGCCCGGUGCUGGAAGGUUAAGGGGAGCGCUUAGCGGAAGCGAAGGUGCGAACCGAAGCCCCAGUAAACGGCGGCCGUAACUAUAACGGUCCUAAGGUAGCGAAAUUCCUUGUCGGGUAAGUUCCGACCCGCACGAAAGGUGUAACGACUUGGGCGCUGUCUCAACGAGAGACCCGGUGAAAUUAUACUACCUGUGAAGAUGCAGGUUACCCGCGACAGGACGGAAAGACCCCGUGGAGCUUUACUGCAGCCUGAUAUGGAAUUUUGGUAUCGCUUGUACAGGAUAGGUGGGAGCCUGGGAAGCCGGAGCGCCAGCUUCGGUGGAGGCGGCGGUGGGAUACCACCCUGGCGGUAUUGAAAUUCUAACCCGCACCCCUUAGCGGGGUGGGAGACAGUGUCAGGCGGGCAGUUUGACUGGGGCGGUCGCCUCCCAAAAGGUAACGGAGGCGCCCAAAGGUUCCCUCAGAAUGGUUGGAAAUCAUUCGGAGAGUGCAAAGGCACAAGGGAGCUUGACUGCGAGACGGACAGGUCGAGCAGGGACGAAAGUCGGGCUUAGUGAUCCGGUGGUUCCGCAUGGAAGGGCCAUCGCUCAACGGAUAAAAGCUACCCCGGGGAUAACAGGCUGAUCUCCCCCAAGAGUCCACAUCGACGGGGAGGUUUGGCACCUCGAUGUCGGCUCAUCGCAUCCUGGGGCUGUAGUCGGUCCCAAGGGUUGGGCUGUUCGCCCAUUAAAGCGGUACGCGAGCUGGGUUCAGAACGUCGUGAGACAGUUCGGUCCCUAUCCGUCGCGGGCGGAGGAAAUUUGAGAGGAGCUGUCCUUAGUACGAGAGGACCGGGAUGGACGCACCGCUGGUGUACCAGUUGUCCCGCCAGGGGCACCGCUGGGUAGCUAUGUGCGGACGGGAUAAGCGCUGAAAGCAUCUAAGCGUGAAGCCCCCCUCAAGAUGAGAUUUCCCACCGCGUUAGGCGGGUAAGAUCCCUCGAAGAUGACGAGGUCGAUAGGUCCGAGGUGGAAGCGUGGCGACACGUGGAGCUGACGGAUACUAAUCGAUCGAGGGCUUAACCUAG